AACGAACGCUGGCGGCAGGCCUAACACAUGCAAGUCGAACGCUCCAGCAAUGGAGAGUGGCAGACGGGUGAGUAACGCGUGGGAACCUUCCCUAUGGUUCGGAGUAGCUCAGGGAAACUUGAGGUAAUACCGGAUAAGCCCUUCGGGGAAGGAUUAUCGCCAUUGGAUGGGCCCGCGUAGGAUUAGCUAGUUGGUGAGGUAACGGCUCACCAAGGCGACGAUCCUUAGCUGGUCUGAGAGGAUGAUCAGCCACACUGGGACUGAGACACGGCCCAGACUCCUACGGGAGGCAGCAGUGGGGAAUAUUGGUACAAUAGGGCGCAAGCCUGAUCCAGCCAUGCCGCGUGAGUGACGAAGGACCUUAGGGUUGUAAAGCUCUUUUGGCGGGGAAGAUAAUGACGGUACCCGCAGAAUAAGCUCCGCUAACUUCGUGCCAGCCGCCGCUGUAAC
Molecule: ribosomal RNA, 450 nt
Filed under: uncultured bacterium
Lineage: Bacteria
Description: bacterial SSU rRNA
Rfam family: Bacterial small subunit ribosomal RNA
Source: RNAcentral